AAUAUUUGUCAGCGCACUCUGUAAGGGCUGUCAGAAAGAUAGAAGCAGAGAUGCUAGCGAGGGAGUGAAAAUGAGAGGAACUUUGUGGAGAGGCAGAGUGAGAGAGAGUGAGAGCGAGUAAGUAGAAGGAAAGGGCAAAUGAAAAUGAGGCAGAGAGCUGAGAGAGAGAGAGAGAGAGAGAGAGAGAGAGAGAGAGAGAGAGAGAGAGAGAGAGAGAGAGAGAGAGAGAGAGAGCGAAGCACAAUGCAGGGGAAAAAACAAAGAGACGUGUGGGUUAUCAGCCCGUCUUCUGUUCGCUCAUCAGGAUCGCCGCUGGCAAAUGGGGACGGAACACUCCAGAAAAGGCGAGAGGGCGUUGUCGGGUGGCGCCACGCCCCGAAAAGUUGCCAGCAUCCCUGCGUCUGCGUUUGGGGUGGACAGCGGAGGAUGACACUGCAGACGCAGUGCGGCACAGCCAGACGGCUGCAGACGGAGGCAGAGGAGCGCACAGCUGCAUUCUCCGGACUCCGUCCUGUGCUUGCCCUGGUACCAAAAACACAAGAACAUGCCAGAUCGUUUUCUCCAGGUGGAAUGGUGGAGAUCGGAUGAGGAGGAAAGGAAAAACGGCAAAUUGCACCAAAUUUGGGAUUACGCUGACAUCUCGGAGGAAAAAUAAAGAAUUUGUGGUGUGGAAUUUUCGGCUGAUACUGCUGUGGUGGCUCAGUGGCUCGCCGCUGCACUGCCUGCAAGAAGAGAGAGGUAGAAGGAGAGCUCCCUUCGCCAUCAGGUUCUAUGGCAAAGCCGAUGAUGCUGGAGCAAGUAAUAGAACUCUAUACGCCUUUAUGUUCCAAAUGCAGUCAGACUGUGGUCUCGCCAGGCCUGUUUGCGUGGGCCGGUCCUGCUUCUCCUUCUUGUUCUGUUUCUAGAUCUUGUGGCUUCUUUCCAUACGAUUCGGUGCUCCCUGAAUGCCGAAAAGACCGAAAAGCCAGUGUGCGCACGGCGAACAGAGACAGAGUGCACAGCGCUGAGCCAGACAUGCUGACCUAAAUCAGUCCCAGCCAUGUCUGGACUCGGCUGUAGUGAGUGAGGGAGGAGAGGGGUGUAGCCAGAGCAUGAGCGUGCAAGAGAGAGUGAGUGCAAGUGAGAUAGAGAGAGGGAGAGAGAGACAUCGCUCGCUUUGCACAGCUGUAAUAUCAGC
Molecule: long non-coding RNA, 1177 nt
Organism: Pygocentrus nattereri (red-bellied piranha)
Lineage: Eukaryota; Metazoa; Chordata; Actinopteri; Characiformes; Serrasalmidae
Exons: 2
Source: RefSeq, a predicted model, not a curated record